GACGAACGCUGGCGGCGUGCUUAACACAUGCAAGUCGAACGGAAAGGCCCUGCUUUUGUGGGGUGCUCGAGUGGCGAACGGGUGAGUAACACGUGAGUAACCUGCCCUUGACUUUGGGAUAACUUCAGGAAACUGGGGCUAAUACCGGAUAGGAGCUCCUGCUGCAUGGUGGGGGUUGGAAAGUUUCGGCGGUUGAGGAUGGACUCGCGGCUUAUCAGCUUGUUGGUGGGGUAGUGGCUUACCAAGGCUUUGACGGGUAGCCGGCCUGAGAGGGUGACCGGCCACAUUGGGACUGAGAUACGGCCCAGACUCCUACGGGAGGCAGCAGUGGGGAAUAUUGCACAAUGGGCGGAAGCCUGAUGCAGCAACGCCGCGUGCGGGAUGAAGGCCUUCGGGUUGUAAACCGCUUUCGCCUGUGACGAAGCGUGAGUGACGGUAAUGGGUAAAGAAGCACCGGCUAACUACGUG
Molecule: ribosomal RNA, 468 nt
Filed under: uncultured bacterium
Lineage: Bacteria
Description: partial 16S ribosomal RNA
Rfam family: Bacterial small subunit ribosomal RNA
Source: RNAcentral